RNAcentral lists this ribosomal RNA (535 nucleotides) under uncultured bacterium. RNAcentral's name for it is "bacterial SSU rRNA". It matches the Rfam family "Bacterial small subunit ribosomal RNA", at positions 93 to 614 of the family's 1533-position model. The record is from RNAcentral.
GAGUGGCGAACGGGUGAGUAACACGUGGAGAACCUGCCCAUAAGAGGGGGAUAACAUCCGGAAACGGGUGCUAAUACCGCAUAGGUAUCCGACACGCAUGUGUCGGCUAUGAAAGACGGCUUCGGCUGUCGCUUAUGGAUGGCUCCGCGGCGUAUUAGCUAGUUGGUGAGGUAAUGGCUCACCAAGGCAGUGAUACGUAGCCGACCUGAGAGGGUGAUCGGCCACACUGGGACUGAGACACGGCCCAGACUCCUACGGGAGGCAGCAGUAGGGAAUCUUCCACAAUGGGCGCAAGCCUGAUGGAGCAAUGCCGCGUGAAUGAAGAAGGUCUUCGGAUCGUAAAGUUCUGUUAUCGGAGAAGAACACGUCGAGUAGUAACUGGCUCGACCUUGACGGUAUCCGACCAGAAAGUCACGGCUAACUACGUGCCAGCAGCCGCGGUAAUACGUAGGUGACAAGCGUUGUCCGGAUUUAUUGGGCGUAAAGCGAGCGCAGGCGGUCUUUUAAGUCUGAUGUGAAAGCCCACGGCUCAACC